Long non-coding RNA from Bubalus bubalis (water buffalo), 10136 nucleotides. RefSeq lists it as uncharacterized. The record is from RefSeq and is a predicted model, not a curated record. Lineage: Eukaryota; Metazoa; Chordata; Mammalia; Artiodactyla; Bovidae. The transcript is spliced from 2 exons.
GGGAGCCUGAAAUUUGGUGUUAGGACAAAUCCCUGAAAAGAUUCUGGGGCCAAACUCCUAGGGUGUGAGUCCAGUCAUUCAGUCGCUGUGUGAUCUCAGGCAAAUUACCUCUAAGUGCUUUAGUGUCAUCAUCUGAAAGUGGGGAUAACAGAAUCAGAACUUUGAGAGUUAAACAGAUUAAUCUGCAUGAAGCACUUAGCAGAGUGUAGACUUGGAGUCAAUGCUAUGCAAGUCAAGCUACUGUAUUGUUAUUACUGUUAGUAAAAGAAGUGGCGCCUCACUCAGUUCCUCCAUCCAUGGAUGGGAAUGAGAAAGCCUUCACUUAUUUUGAAGAAAGAACCAGUCUUCUGUGGGAUAGUCACUUAAGGAGUCCUGCUGUUCACAUUGAACCAUUUAUUUCUCUUCCCUCACUUCAACACAGGUGCUCCUGAGAGGGGUAAACCUUUGAACCAAGCAAGUGUCAGGAAGUUCCCAAAUGAUUUGAGAAUAUAGAGGGUGGGAAGAAGAUGUUUAUAACUCUACUGGGCUGAACUGUUCUCAGACAUGCAUGAAAAUGAAAACAGAAAACAUAUUGAGUCAUGCUUUUAAAAGAGGAGAGGAGGGCUUCCCUGGUGGUCCAGUGGUUAAGAAUCCACCUUGCAGCGCAAGGAUCCCUGGUUUGAUCCCUGGUGCAGGAAGAUCCCACCUGCUGCAGGACAACUAAGCCCAAGUGCCACACUAUGAGCCUGCACUCUGGAUAUUGAGCCUGCACUCUGGAGCCCAUGAGCCACAAAUACUGAAGCCCAUGCAUCACAACCACUGAAGCCUGCAUGCCAUGGAGCCCAGGCUAGGCAACAAACGAAGCCACCACAACAAGAAGCCUGUGCUCUGCAACUAGAGAGUAGCCCCCACUCAGCGCAAGUAGAGAAAGCCCUCGUAGCAGAGAAGACCAGUGCAGCCAAAAAUAAAUAUUCAAAGAGGAAAGAACUAAUACUCUGGUAGUAUUUUUUAGUGCUAUUAAGGAUUACUAUUUGCUUCUUAGUUGGAAAUUCAUGUCUAAAUACCUAAAAUAAAUAAAUACUGUACCUAGCCUUUUUUGUACAUAGACAAAAAAGGUUAGGUACACUAUUGAAGUAUGUGAAAAACACUUUUCAGACAGCAAAACCUGAGGCACAUCUUGCCAAAACAGGACAGAGCUUGUCAAACACUGAGGGAGAAAGGGGAAUAGUCUCAACUGAACACUCAGUUGCCAGAGGCUCUAGCUACUCCAUGUCUAUGAAGGAGACUUCUGCUAGGGCUUACAGUGUUCACCUUUAUCAGUUCUACCUACUCAGGGCCUGACAAUGAAGAGACAAUCUGUUGAGACACUUUCUCCCUAUAACUUGGGUCCCCCACUCCCACUCCACACCUAUCCUUUUCAUUGGACUGAAUUAAAUCAAGGGGAAUAGUCCACUGAAGGAAGGGAAUAGUCUCAACUGAACACUCAGUUGCCAGAGGCAGCUUCAACUUCAGCCCCCUGGGCCACCAAAGAAUACCGCUUAUGGAGAACAGGGCCAAAAUGACUCGUCGCCCAAGGCUUUGGUCCCUAGACUGAGAUGGAACCCUCCCAGAACAUAGCUAUGCCUGCCAGGUUAAUCUUAAAAGGCUUUCAUGGUCAGGGAACAUAUCCUUAGGAAAUCUUUUGAGGUCUGUCACAGGUUCUGUCCCCCUUUUCCAAUCAAAUAGGGAUUAUCUGCAUUGGUGGUUUCCUUCCAGUUUUAACAUGAACAAGUAGGGUCAUGUGAUUUCAGGGUCCUGUGAUUUCAGGCUGAGACUCACUGUUCUGGUUUAUUUGGUACAGAAUGAGGAGCAAAAAAUUCACAGGAGCCGGGAAAGAAAGCAUGCGAGGAUGGGCGUGGAGUAAUACGCCAGCUCUUCCUGGACAAGCCACCGUCUGAGGAAGAGAUGGCAAAGAGGAAGAGAGACUGUUCCUUCACCCCCACCUUUCUCCUGGCUUUCCAGCUCCUCCCAAAUGUCCGAGGUGAUGAUGAAGCCAGUGAGGCAUCCUGGAAGGAGGAGAAAGCGUGUGCCCUGUGUUUCUGUGCUUCAUAAGGCAGUCGGGUCAGCCAAGAGAUCAGGCCCUAUAGCCAUGGCCAUUGUGAGGAGCUCACAGCUUUCAGAGCAGAGAACAUAAUUUUUAAAAAUAGACGUUUCUGCCUCAAAGAAUACCUUUCCUUGUUCUAAAGCAGCGGUUUCCAAACUUUAUUAUCAGAAAUUCCUAUCAGUAAAAUAAAAAUAAAAUUGAGGACAUACUAUAUAUAAAUAUACACAUUUGUGUGUAUUAUGUGUACUACUGAAUUAAUAUGUGUUAUAAAACACCCAAAAUAAAAAUUAGGAAAGACUGAGAUGAACCAAACAGAAAUAGAAAUCUUAACUUUUUCCUCUUUCUCACCCCAGUGGAUUAUCUUGCCCCAUGCUUGGGGUGUGUGCACUCAACUUUGGAGAUGACUCUAAGUGGUGAAAUGCUGGGAGGUCAUAGCAUGUUGCUCCAGUAGCAAAGGCAGCAAUGGAGCAGACCGCCAAUGGGAGCUCCUUGAGGAGGGACCUGGUUUUCCUUAUUCAACUUCCUGUGCUCAGUUCUAAUUAAAUGGUAGGUAAAGGGAAAAAAAGAAAUGAAGUAAGCAUUCCUAAAAGUCUGAUAACUGAUGUGAAAUCUGUGUUUUAUAUUAGGUUAUGUGAAGUGAAUAACAUUGUCUUUCUAUAAGUUUGAGUGUUAGUCGCUCAGUCAUUUCUGACUCUUCGUGACCCCGUGGACUGCCAGGUUCCUCUGUCCAUGCGAUUCUCCAGGCGAGGAUCCUGGAGUGGGUUGCCAUUCCCUUUUCCAAGGGAUCUUCCCGACCCAGGGAUUGAACAGAGAUCUCCUGCAUUGCAGGCAGAUUCUUUACUGUCUGAGGCACCAAGUGUCUAUCAGAUACCCCUCUUUGCAUGUAAGACAGGGCCACCUGCUCAGGAGAGCUGCUGACCCAGUGUGCAAGGGCCAGACUGUAGGCGCAGCACUGCUGACACCAGCUCGGGUGGAAGUGAGAGGGCGGGCCAGCACCACGGAAGGCCUGCCCACUCGCACACCAGGUCAGGCACCCCGAACUGCACAGGCAUGCAUAUUCUAUGCACGCUCAGCCCCAGGAAAGUCCUGGAACUUUCUCACUAGAUACCCAAGAUCUGUGGUUCUAGGCAGCUCAUUAUUGAGGUCAUAGUAUUGUACAAAAGAAACUAAACUGGGUUCUAGUCUCAGCUCUGUUGUGUGACCUUGAGCAAGUGCCUUAACAUCUCUCAGCCUGAGUUUUCUCAUCUAUACUGAGGAAAACCAAUAUCACCCUACCAGCCCCAGAGGGUUAUCGUGAAGUUCCUAUGAUGCACUUAGGAAGCUGUUUUGCAAAAAACGCAAAACAUAGUACCUCGAUGUCAUAAGAUAUUUAGUCUUAUGAAUUAAGGUCAUUUUAAGGCAAAAAGACAGACAUUUCCUAGAAAUCUUGGAGUUUACUAUCCCGAGAAACUUUCUCAUAAGGAGACCAGCUCGGAGGAAUAUUGGCUUAUAAUAGAUUUCUAAUCUGAACCUAGAGUUCUAGAGAUUUUAUAAGCUUAAAGAAAAAACCGAAUGAACAAUGAUGAUGUUCAUAAAGCAGAUUUCCAUUUUUUGGAAAUAGAAAUGGUAGAUUUCCAUUUCUCCAGAUAAUGCCAAGAUUUCCAAGGGAGGUGAGUUGUCUGUUCAUUCCUUCAGUAAAUAUUUAUAGAGCAACUUGUUGCUGAAAUAAAGGCCCCUCCCUCCAGGGCUCUUGUUCCAGUAAAUGAGAAAGACUUGUGAGCAAACAUUGCAAUACACUGACAAGAGCUACAGCCAGUUGUGAAUUAGAGAUACUGGGAGGCUUAAAUACUGGGGAAUCAAGUUAGUGACUUAAGGAAGAGUAGGAAUUCAUUCAUUGCCAGGAGGGGUAAAGGACAUUUCAGAGAGAAGGAAUGAAGUAUAAAGGCCAGGGGUAGAGUAGAGGGUAGGAAUGGGAAGAGAAUAGCAUGGUUUUCUGGGAACUGUAGUAAGUCUUGAGUGUGAUGUCCAAGAAGAAAGGGGUAGACAAGAAGCUCAGAAGGUAAGCAGAAGCCAACUCGUGGUAAGAGUGGGGGACCAGCAGGUCUUUUUUUUUUUUUUUCAAUUUUUAAAUUACAUAUGUAUAUUUUUUAUUUUGUUUAUUUAUUUAUUUUUGGCUGUCCUGGGUCUUCACUGCUGUCCACAGGCUUUCUCUAAUUGUAGAGGGCAGGGGCUACUCUCUCAUUGCAGCAUGCAGUCUUCUCAUUGUAGCAGCUUUUCUCAUUGUUAAGGCUACUCCAAAGUUAAGGCAUGGGGAAUGGGAAGGUUAAGGUCAGCAUUUUAAUAGGGUUAUAUUUGGAACUCAGAGCCAUGAGGUUGGAAUCAGAAGCCUUAUACUGUGAUCUCAACUCUGUUCCUGAUUACUUGUGUGACUUUGGGCGAGUCACACCACUCACUGGGCCUCAUGAUUAUAAGGAAAUAAUACAGUUCUUUUUAGGUUAAUAUUCUGAGAUUUCUAUGGAAGAGGGCUAGUGAUCAGCAUGCUCUAGCUACUCCAUGUCUAUGAAGGAGAUUUCAGCUAGGGCUUACAGUGUUCACCUUUAUCAGUUCUACCUGCUUGGGGCCUGACAAUGAAGAGACAAUCUGUUGAGACACUUUCUCCCUAUAACUUGGGUCCCCCACUCCCACUCCACACCUGUCCUUUUAGGGGACAAAAAGGUGGUGUUCUUGCCAAUACACCUAAAAAUGAGGCCACUUAGACGAUGACGUAUAACACAUAUGUUUUUGAUCUGUGAUAUUCACAGCUGCAGAACAGCUAGGAAAUAGCAAAGAACAUAAGUAGCGACUCUGGUCAAGAUGUGCCUUCACUGUGGCCACGCCACCUGGGUGUGCCUACCCCAGUCUCAGCUAGGUGGCUGUCAUUUGAGGGUUUGGUUGCAGUCACAUGGUGCUGAGGAGUCCAGAUGAAGGCUUCCUGCCCAUGUGUCCAGUGGCUGAUUGAUGCUGGCUGUCAACCAGGACCACAGCUGGCACCCUUGGCCAGAACACAUGGCUUCUCUGUGUGGUCUGGGCGUCCUCACAGCAUUGUAUCUGAGUUCCAACAGCAAGUGUCCCAACACACAUUAGAAAGAGCCAGGGGAAACUGCAUUGCCUUUACUAACCUAGCCUCCUAAGUCACAUGUUAUUGCUUCUGCCCAAUUUGUUUCAUUAGAAGCAAGGCCUUAAAGCCAGCCCAUAUCCUGGAAGAGGGGAAUUCGAUUGCCUCUCCUGAUGGAGUGGACAAAAACUUGCAGACACAUUUAAAACUACUACAUAUGUUUUUAACAGAAUAUGUGCUUGAAAUAUAUUGUUUUUGCUGGUAUAACUAUUGCUGAGAUACAAAUAAUCGCUAAUAUUUUGGAAACACUGAUCAUAUGCCUGGAACGAUGCUAAGCUCUCUAUAUGUUGGGAGAGUUAAAUGACACACCACUCCCCAUCCUAUGGGACAAGUACUAUUAUUUCCCCAUUUCACAGAUCUGGAAUCUAAAACUGAAAGGUCUGAGGUAAUUUGUCUGUUUUACCCAGGUAGAAAGUGGCAGCCCCCAGGGAGGAGCCUGGGCAGACUCAGGUACAAGCACUUAUCCACUAAGCCAAACCCUCACGUUUCCCCAAGGCUUAUAUAUAAGAUGACGUUCAGGCACGUGAAAUAGAUUCCUCACAGUUAAUGAGUGGAUAUAAAACUGUAUCCAACCUCACAAAAAAUGUAUUUGUACAGUUCCUAACAAAAUGGAGAAAAUGUCUUCCAGGUAGCUCUUAUGUGAAAGUUUCUGGAGGGAAGAGGUUGGGUUUAAGAAGAUGCUGUGAUAAUCCCUUUUUGAAGUAGGAGAGAGCCUCCCCAGCCACAUGACAGGGCAGGAGAGAGCUUGGAGGAGGAGGUGCUGACUGCUGUGGGAGAGGACAGAGAAAGAGGCAGGCCUCCCACCCUCCCGUCCACCCCAUUUCCCACAGGCGAAUCAGGAGGAGACUUGAGGAGAAAAGACUUAUCUAAAAAAGAUUGCUUUCCUAUAAAGAGAUUUACAAGAAAGAUGCUAUCUGCUAUGCAAUGUGAACUCCUCCCAUACCUCUGAAAAUCUUCAGUGAAAUUGCAAAAAAUCACAAUGGGUUUUGGUGUAGUUGGAUUUAUUGUUAGAAGUAGUUUAGGGACUGAGUUUUGUAUCGCGAAUGACUCAGAAUCAUCUAGUGCUAAAAGAGGGGGGCAUUCACUUCUGGGUUCUUAAAUCAUACCCUCUAACAGGUAGUUCAUGUACCUGACAGAGUGAUGGAAUUCUUUAACUAGUUGCAUUCCCACUAGGGCUCUCUAUCCUUGCCAGGAAUUGACAUCAGGCCCAGUCUGUUCAAGGAACAAUGAAUCUCUUCCACUGAACAAAUGCUUACUGAGCACCUGUAACACUGAUCACACCUAGAUACUAACAAAUCUCAGUGAGACUAAAUAGUGGACAAGGGGUUGUUCACCUUGUUUUGCCCACUCUAGAUCCGAGAAAUCUACCAGGAGGCUAGGUCCCUCUCAAUCCAGAUACAUAACAAUUCUUCGGUAAGUUUAUGAAACCAAUUCCAAGUACUCAUGAUUAACCCAAAGCUCUGUGGCGGGAACCAGAUAAAUUAGAAGGUUGUUAUUCCUUUGGUCACAGUCCCACAAAAGAGAUGAGAUUUGGAGACUGGAGCUGGGCGGAGCUGGGCAGAGUUGAAACUGACCUGCAGGAGUCAUGAAAUGUGAGCAAGAAAUAAACUUUUGCUGUUAUAAACCACUGGGAUUUGGGGGUUGUUAUGAAACACUCAUAAUGUAAAUCACACACUUACUGUGUGGAAGGUUUGUGGAAUAUGGAGUUGUCCAAGACACAGUCUCUGACCUCUAGAAGCUUAUAAUCUAAGAAGGUUAGACACCCAAGUAUCUGUAAAAGUAGCAGAAGUGGCCAAGCUGAUGAGUGAGGCAAGAGGACCACAAGGCUGAUUAGCAGCAUGGAAAAUAAGAGUGGAGAUUUCACAAAGGAUGGAUGAUCUGAGGCUCAAUGAUGCAGGGAGUUCAAAGAGAAAAUGGACCAAGGAGAGAUCUGUGGAUUUUGUUUCUAGGAGACAAAUAAUGGCUUUGAGGAAGUACUUCCAGAUGAGGGCUUAGAGGGGGCAAUCAAGGGCUAAAGGAGAUGGAGAGGAAGCAAAGCCAUCAAGAAAGAUUUCUCUUUCAACAUGUGUGAUGAGAGAAACCAUAGUGAUGGGGGAGAUCAGGAGUGCGCUGUUUUGCAGGAUGAGGUAGCAAGCAAGUGCACUUGGGGUUUCUGCCCUCCCUACACUCUGUCCUCAGAGUCUACUCCACCCACUGCGCUUGCUGAGAGGAGAGGGGAUCCGCAAUCUCCAGCCUCAGGUGAUUGGACCAAGGGGGGCACCUGAUUUGAGAAGGGCCAACCCAAGUUGCUAAUGACAUAACGCUUGAAUGAUUGGGCUCAAAAAGGUGACGGGGGACAAUCACAUUCCUUCUCAUAAGGCCCCCAAGCCAGGACAUACCGAUGAAAGAUGUUCUUUGGGGAUGGAUCCUUGAGCUGAAAAUAGGUACAGGAGAAUGGAGCAGCCUCUAUCCAGUCAUGUGCAUAGCUAACUCAUGAGGACCCCCAGGAAGUGGCUGAGAAAGAACAGAAAACAACAGAUAUCACGAGAAAAGUGGAGAGGCAGUGAGUAAAAGAUGGCAAUAAUGAAUCAUGAUGCCUCAUGAUGUAGGUCUUUGCAUGAAUGUCACCUCAUUUAUUUCUCAUAACAAUCCUAUGAGAGAGGUGCUAUGUUCACCCUCAUUUUAGGAACCCAAGACACAAAGGAGUUGUGCCUGAGAAGACUCAAAGUAGAGCCCAUGAUAAAAACUAUACACUGUCCUCUUGUUUAGCCAUUUUGAUUACUGCCUCUCCCAAGGGAGAUGAGGGGCACUCCCUGAAACUCCUGGGAGUCAACCCUUCCUAAGCUCAGAUGCUUGAGCUUUAUUGGAUUUCCUGAGAUCAUCUGAGCCUAUCUGACCAUCUGGAACAGCUUCUAGUUCUUGUCAUCCAAAAGAACUCAACCAAAUCAGAUGGGGAGAUUUGGGAGUUUUCUGAGUAAGGCAAACUGGAAAUGUUAGAGAGAAAAGGGGAUUGUUGAUGGAGCAGACCUACAGGGAAGCACAAAGGGGUGGAACUAAGGGUGAGGGAGAGAUUUUUCUUGUCCCACAGACAGAACCAUAUGGCUUAGUUUUACAAUCAGGCUCCACAGUGCCACGUGACAAGUUAACCAACUAACCAAACCUACAGGAGUUACACACAGCCCAGUGGCUGUGCCUUUCCAGCUGGCUUAGCCAGUAACGAAGGGAGCAGGUGAGGCUGGGCCUGCAUGCCUCCUCCUUUCUGAGCCCAAGUUUCUCUGUUGAUAAAAUGGGGAUGAUGAUUAAUAAAUGCAGAGAAGUUGACUUUCCAGGACUCUGGGGAAACUGCAGAGGUACAGAGCACCAUGGUCGGGCUGCCCACUGUGGCAGCCAGACCCAAGGUCUCAAGUCAGAUUUUCCAGAGUCAGUCUCUGAGGGGGAGGGCUGAGAGCAGGCAGUGUGUAGGGGAAUGCUCUCAGGAGCAACACCUGUGAGGGUUGAGGGCGGCCAGAAUGAGCAGAGGUAGAAGUUACAGGAAAGACAGCAGCCGAUUCUGGAGGAACUGGACCUGGGAUGGCCCACAGAGUCAUCCCCAACUGAGGUUGGAGCUAAGCCUUUAAACCCCACACCCUCUGAGAAGUCAAGGUGCCUGGGAUGCCCUGUCAGGUGCGGCAGCUCCCUUGAGUCAAGGGGGCAUGUCUUGGGGAGAGACACAGCUCUGAGAGCUUCAGCAGGGAACGUUCCAUGCAGAUCGGGGCGCAGGGGUGGGGAGAGUGCCUCAGUCUUGAAAGAGGGGAUCUGAGUGGUACUUGCAACACAUAAAAACUGAACCCCCAGUUUUCAGGGGCCAAAUCAGGCAGGGAGCCUGGGCUUUGGGAAAGUGGGGACUGAAAGGGGUCAGGAGGAGACUGCAGAAGGUUCUGUACUGAUAAGCUCUCUCCUUAUCCCCACCUGAAAUUAUUGGGAAAGUACGUGAACUGUGAAAAUGCUGCAUGUGUCUGCGUGUGUGUGUGUGUGUGUGUGUGUGUGUGUGUGUGUAGACUGUAAAGGGAGAGACUCCUGUAUCUCGUCUGGAGCCAAGAAAUCCAAGGAACUUAAAAAGUCAGAGAAACUGGAGAUAAGGAGGCAAGGAAACUGUUGGGAGAACACUGGAUCACAGUCUGGGCCAAGCCGAAACUAAAUCUCCAGCGGGCAGGGGAGUCGCAGGUGUGUCAUGUUAAAAACACGCUCUUUUCCCAGCAUGCAGCUGGGCUUGGAGGAUUUCAGCACUUCCAGCGUGAAAUAGAAACUCCUCUCUGCAGCAUGUGUGUCCCCAGCUCACGUCUGGGCUUCGUCACUGAGAACUGCCCCAACCCUGAUUCAGGAGACGCACGAUGAAGUGAGAGGAUAAUAAGCCUAUGCCUGAGGCAUCUUCACUUCAGAGGAGUGCACACAGAUAGAGGCCACCUGAGGACCUGGCAAGAGGCGCUUGCAAGCCAAGGAGAGACGCCCCGGGAGAAAGCAAACCGCUGGCACCUUGGUGGUGGACUUUCAGCCUCCAGAAUGGAAGCUGAGCCCCUCCGGAUGCCUCAGAGAGAGAAACCAGCACUUCCCCACAUGGCUCUUCAGUGGCUGCCACCCUGGACAUCGGAGCUGUGGCUUCUCCUGCUGGAUGCGUGCCCACAGCCCUGGAGAGAGCACGGACUUGAGGACUUGAAAGGCUUCCACUUAUCACCGAGGAAGCAGGAGGAGAACAAGGACCCCUCUGCCUGUGCGUGCCGCGGGUGAACAGGAAAUGGCUCCAGCCUUUCCUCCUCUCUGCCUUUGCUUUCUGUUUCAAGUCUGCUGCCUGCACCUUUGAGUCAUGCCAAACACGUUAGAACAAACAGUAAGAAACAAGUCUGCUUAUGAGGGGAAUUUCCUGAAUUCUAAUAAGUCAUUUUCUCUCCUAAAGGCAACAGCCUUGCUUCCAGGUUCUGAAUUGGA